UAAUAUUUGAGUUCAGCGAAGUCUCCUGAGUAAAACAGUACCCCCUAUGUACAGGUUUUAUGGUGUUUUGGAGAGUUACAGGGUCAAAUAUAGUGCUUGCGAAUUAAAUUCUCUGCACUUUCUCCCUGUGUUGUCAGGCAUGUCAAUCAAAUUUUAAUUAAUCAAAUCACAUAAUUAUGUUAAAAGAUUACUUAAAUAUACAUGUAGA
This is a non-coding RNA of Pelobates cultripes (western spadefoot toad), 208 nucleotides long. The record is from the annotation of a GenBank genome assembly. Lineage: Eukaryota; Metazoa; Chordata; Amphibia; Anura; Pelobatidae.